CCACCCAAAAAUCUAGCCAUAGCCGGUUCCUCAUCCUCCUCUAGGUUACAACGCAACAUACCCGUUUGUAAUUCCUGAUAAUAUUCUUCUACACUUUUAGCACCUUGUCUUAACUGCUGCAACUUAUUUAUCAUAUCACACGCAUAGUAAGAUGGAACAAAUCUAGCUCUCAUGGCCCUUUUCAGCGCAUCCCAAGUUCUAGGUAAGUUAUUAGGAUUUUUCUUUCCAUAUUCUAUCCACCAAACAGAAGCA
This 252-nucleotide long non-coding RNA is filed under the name Sorghum bicolor (sorghum). Its description in RNAcentral is "long non-coding RNA (SBIC_LNC018534)". The record is from RNAcentral. Lineage: Eukaryota; Viridiplantae; Streptophyta; Magnoliopsida; Poales; Poaceae.